UUAUGGCUCAGACGAACGCUGGCGGCAUGGAUUAGGCAUGCAAGUCGAACGGGAGCAGCAAUGCUCCAGUGGCGCAAGGGUGAGGAACACGUGAACAACCUGCCUUCGAGUUGGGGAUAGCUUCUGGAAACGGGAGAUAAUACCGAAUAACAUCACCGGAUCGCAUGAUCUGAUGAUCAAAGCAGCAAUGCGCUUGAAGAGGGUUCGCGUCCCAUUAGCUAGUUGGUGAGGUAACGGCCCACCAAGGCGAUGAUGGGUAGCUGGUCUGAGAGGACGAUCAGCCACAUUGGGACUGAGAUACUGCCCAGACUCCUACGGGAGGCUGCAGUCGAGAAUUUUGGGCAAUGGACGAAAGUCUUGACCCAGCAAUGCCGCGUGCGGGAUGAAGGUCUUCGGAUUGUAAACCGCUGUCAAGAGGGACGAAACAUGACGGUACCUCUGGAGGAAGCCACGGCUAACUACGUGCCAGCCGCCGC
This 476-nucleotide ribosomal RNA is filed under the name uncultured bacterium. RNAcentral's name for it is "bacterial SSU rRNA". It matches the Rfam family "Bacterial small subunit ribosomal RNA", at positions 17 to 518 of the family's 1533-position model. The record is from RNAcentral.